This 75-nucleotide transfer RNA is filed under the name candidate division TM7 genomosp. GTL1. RNAcentral's name for it is "tRNA-Glu". It matches the Rfam family "tRNA". Rfam says of the family: Transfer RNA (tRNA) molecules are approximately 80 nucleotides in length. Their secondary structure includes four short double-helical elements and three loops (D, anti-codon, and T loops). The record is from RNAcentral. Lineage: Bacteria; Candidatus Saccharimonadota.
GGCCUUGUCGUCUAAUGGUUAGGACACCAGGUUUUCAUCCUGGCAAUCGGGGUUCGAUUCCCCGUGAGGUCACCA